Arvicola amphibius (Eurasian water vole) is the source of this 1896-nucleotide long non-coding RNA. RefSeq lists it as uncharacterized. The transcript has 3 exons. The record is from RefSeq and is a predicted model, not a curated record. Lineage: Eukaryota; Metazoa; Chordata; Mammalia; Rodentia; Cricetidae.
UGGCGGCGCUCGAUGGGCAGAAGACGGUGGGGACAUCCCUGAGUGAGCCUACAUUAAACUGGGCUUUGGAAGUGUGAUCGGGAAUUUCUGUAUCACGGCAAGUCUUGUCUGGCUGGAGGUGGCCCCAAGCACGGGUCAACCCAAGUGGCUCCUCCCCGCUCGUUUGCAAGGUCCCCGAAGUCCUACACACCUCUGAUGCCAUGCUGGGCGGUUCCUCCUUCUCCUGGAGCUUCGGUUCUAACGAUCUGGAAAACAAGAUCAAACUGACCACCUCGACUCUGCAGGUCUGCGGGGCAGGGACAGCUCAGAGUUGGGGACACACGCUCGGCUUGCGGGACGUGGGCAGCACUCAGCAAGCGCGCCACAGUCCUCGGCGUUCCCUCGUGCUUGUCCUUCUGUCCCACGCUCCCCGGACCUGGUCGAACAGACUCUCAGUGGACAGGUGCCUUCUGAUCUCUUCUGGCCUUUCCUGGCCCGGAUGGCGGCUGCUGCCCCUCUGCCUUGUCCCCGCCUCCUGGCAGCGUAGAGCCAAUUGGGAGAGGUGGGUGUGUCGCCUGUGGGCGAGACCGCCUCUGGCUGAGCUACUAGCCGCCAGAGGAAGUAUGGGAUUUUCAACCAGUUAGCUGUCGGCUGUUUGGAGGUUCAGACAGGUGAGACCCACGCUAGGAGGGAAGAAAGGUGAGAGGAAUGUCAUCCCAGCAGCACCCAGGAGUCCGAGGCAGGAAGAUGGCUGGGAGUUGCAAUCUGGGUUGCAAAUGAACCUGUUUCAAAGAUAAACAAAAAGCUGACACAGAGGCGGUGCCCCCAGCCCGUAAUUUUAAUUUCAGCACUUGGGAGGCAGAGUCAAGAGUCUCUUUCUCAUUUCAAGGCCAGUUUGGUCAACGUAGUGAAUUCCAGGCGGACUACACAUUGAGACCCUGUCUAAAAGCAGAGGACGAGCACAUGCUAAAUCAGACGUGGCUUUGUAUGGUGGUUGUGGCAGUGCAGGCCUGUAAUCUCAGCAUUGGGGAAAAUAAAGGCAGGAGGAUCAGGAAGUUUGCGGUCAUCCAGAGCUGCAUAAGCCAGCUCAAGGGCAGCCUGGGUUACACAAGAGCAAUUUAAAAACAAACAAACAAAAAGAUCGGUAGUCAGAGUAGGGAAAGAUAACUGCUAAAUGUUAAGCUACCUGUGCUAGCGAAUACCUGUGAUCUCAGCACUUGGGAAACUGGGCAGGAAUAUCAAGAGUUUGAUAUUCCUAGGCCCUUGUGGUUCUUGAUGUUCCUAAUACUGUGACCCUUUAAUACAGUUCCCCAUGUUGUGGUGCCCCCCAUCACCAUAAGAUUAUUUUCAUUGCUACCUCAUAACUGCAUUUUUGCUACAUUUUACGUAAUGUAAAUCUCUGUGUUUUCCAACUGUCUCGGACAACCCCUGUGAAAGAGUUGUUCAAUCCCCGAAGGGGUCAAGACCUACAGGUUGAGAACCGCCGGCCUAGAGAGAUGGCUCAGCCAGUAGACGAGCCAGCCACGAAAGCCUGGGAACCUAAGUUCGAUCCUGUGAGGCCCGUCUGUAAUCUCAGCACUUCCAACUCAAGACAGGAGAGACACUGGGGUCUCCAAUAGCUCAGGAUGGCUUGAAACUCAGUAUGCAGCUGGCUAGGAACUCGUGGCAAUCCCCCUGCCUCAACCUCUCCAGGGUUGGAAUAACAGGCUGAAAGCCGAAACAGCACGAAACCCAGGACCAAGGAGGAGCCCCGCCCGCCCUGCGGCGGACCCGGCGCGCAGCAAGCCGUCCCAGAGUGCCUUGCGGCACGCAGAGCGGCAGAGCGCCGUACGGCGGUGGCGCAACGUGAGGCUCGUCCCUUCCAGCGGCUGCACGACGAAGAGGCGGCAUGGAAGUGUAAGCGGCUCGUCCAAGGGA